GAUGAACGCUGGCGGCGUGCUUAACACAUGCAAGUCGAACGAAGCACUUUAACCUGAUUCUUCUGAUGAAGGUUUUUGUGCCUGAGUGGCGGACGGGUGAGUAACGCGUGUGUAACCUGCCUCAUUCAGGGGGAUCACAGUUAGUAAUGACUGCUAUUACCUCAUAAGACCACCGAUCCGCAUGGCUCGCUUUGAAAUACUUCGUUGGUAUGAGAUGGACCCGCGUCUGAUUAGGUAGUUGGUGGGGUAACGGCCUACCAAGGCAACGAACAGUAGACGAGAAGAGAGGGAGAGCGGAGACAAUGGGACUGAGAAACGGCAGAAAAUACUACGGGAGGGAGGAGAGGGGAAUAGAGCAAAAUGGGGGAAAAGAUGAAGAAGCGACGACGGGUGAGCGAAGAAGUAUUUGGGAAAGUAAAGAGAAAUCAGAAGGGAAGAAAAUGACGGUACCUGACUAAGAAGCAACGGCUAAAUACGUG
RNAcentral lists this ribosomal RNA (479 nucleotides) under uncultured bacterium. RNAcentral describes it as "partial 16S ribosomal RNA". It matches the Rfam family "Bacterial small subunit ribosomal RNA", at positions 28 to 507 of the family's 1533-position model. The record is from RNAcentral.